CAGCAGCCGCGGGAAUACGUAGGUGGCAAGUGUUGUCCGGAAUUAUUGGGCGUAAAGCGCGCGCAGGCGGAUCAGUUAGUCUGUCUUAAAAGUUCGGGGCUUAACCCCGUGAGGGGAUGGAAACUGCUGAUCUAGAGUAUCGGAGAGGAAAGUGGAAUUCCUAGUGUAGCGGUGAAAUGCGUAGAUAUUAGGAAGAACACCAGUGGCGAAGGCGACUUUCUGGACGAAAACUGACGCUGAGGCGCGAAAGCCAGGGGAGCGAACGGGAUUAGAUACCCCCGUAGUCCCUGUCUCUUAUACA
Molecule: ribosomal RNA, 301 nt
Filed under: uncultured bacterium
Lineage: Bacteria
Description: partial 16S ribosomal RNA
Rfam family: Bacterial small subunit ribosomal RNA
Source: RNAcentral